CAAGAAGACAAAAAAGGAACAAAAAAAAAAAGAGAAAAAGUUAAAAAAAAUAUUAAACAAAAAUAAGAGUAAUAAAAAUAAUAAAAUUGAUUAUGGUGAAGAAGAAGUACAUUUUAAUCAAAAUAUACUCAAAUUAUUAAAUAAACAAAGUUUUAAAGAACAUCAUAAUAUUCUAAGUAGUAGUACAAAUCAUUUCAUAACACCCGAAUUAAACGAAGGUGUUGAUUCUGCAGACGCACCAGAUCUUCUUAAAGAUUUAAACAAAAUAAGUGAUAACAAAUUAGAUCUUUUGGAACAUCUUGUUGAUUUAGAUUAUAAAAAACAAAAAAUGAAAGAAAAAAAAGCAAACGAAAUGGAAAAUGCGAAAAAUGAAAAAACUACCCGAAGAAAAGUAGUUAUGGAUUAUAAAAAUGAAGAGUUAAUGAAAAUCCAAAAACUUAUGGAAUUAAAAAAUCAGGAAUUAUUGAUGAAAAGGAAGCUCAACGAGUAUAUUAGUGAUAAUGACACGGACGACGAUGAUGGUACUGAUGGUGGUACUGAUGGUGUUGAAAAUGACAUGAUCGAUUACAGUGACACACAGAGCAACCACAAAUUAACAAUACUCAAAGAACAAAACAAUAAGUAUGAAGAUGCUCUCGAACAAAAUAAACAUAUUAAACAAAUGGUAGAUAAAAUUAUUCGAUUAAGAAGAGACAUUCAAAAAAGGGAAAUAGAAAAGGAACAAGAAACAGGGCCUAGUACCAACCGUUUUUUUGAUCAGAAAAUUUUUUCCAAUAUAUUUAACCAGUUAGGUACUGAAAUAAAUGACGAUAAAAAUGACAUAUAUAAUCAAGAAGAUGUUGUAAAAAAUGAUAAAAAUGCGAAAACAAAGAGUAGCAUAAAGGUUAUAAAUAAGACUGUUGAAGCUGAUGCAGCAGCAGCCACUGAUAACACAUCCAAUAUUUCCCCCGAUAUUAAUGAUGAUGGCGAUGAUGGCGAUGAUGAUGAUGAUGGUGAUGAUGCUGGUGAUGAUGAUGCCAAUUCAGAACAAGACAUAAAAGAAAUGGAUCAACGCGAUUUACCUAAAAUUCCAUUACCUGAGAAAUUAGCUAAAAAAGAGAAAAACAAAAAAUUAAGAGAGAAAUAUGGAAAUGAUGAAACGACAAUAAAAAAUACAUCUUUUUCUAUUGUUAAAACGCAAAAAAGUUCAGAAAAUAUAAAUAACUAUUUUUCUAAUUUAGUUAAAGAU
RNAcentral lists this long non-coding RNA (1228 nucleotides) under Piliocolobus tephrosceles (Ugandan red Colobus). Its description in RNAcentral is "lncRNA (ENSPTEG00000003403.1)". The record is from RNAcentral. Lineage: Eukaryota; Metazoa; Chordata; Mammalia; Primates; Cercopithecidae.